AUGGAUAAGAAGCUCCCGGCCGUACCAGAUCGACAUCAGCCUCCGAAUGAUCCAGGACACCCUUUUUUUCAUACAAAACUUCAUCCCGAAUGCUUCAACCUUGUUGUACGUAAGCUUGCCAGCGCUGAAUUAGAGAGGACCGCAGGCACCAACUGGGUUGGGAGCAAACAUUAUUUCGACUUGCAGUUUCAUGCUCAGUCACAGGCCCUGAGGUACUCCUGGAUGACUCAAGGAGAGCGCAUCACGACGCUGAUUAACUAUGUUGUGGUCCAGCCUCUUCCUAAAUAUGAUUAUCUACUAUCCUUGAAACUUUCGGAUUCGUCAUACGGGUUACUUGUAGUCAACCGGCUGAGGAGGAGGGUUGUCGUGAUGGAUCCGUCCUUCAACACGUUUGAUCCUGAAGAUAGCACUCAUAACAUAUUGAUGAGGAAGGAAAUCACACUGCUGAAGGAAGAAUUCAACACUGUGUUGCAGACUAGGAUCGCUGGUUGGAAUAACCAAAUCAUGGAUUGGGAACAAGAUACCAUGUCCUGUGCUGCUCGUCGCAAACACUCCGGCUUCUUUGUGCUACAGGAGAUGGCCUACCAGAUUGGUCGUUUGCGUAGCAUGGGCUGGAUGAACACUACCCAAUACUAUAAGGAAGAAGAGAACGAGCAAGAAGCCGAGGUAUUGGGUACAGCAUCCGGGACAAGAGCAGGUCUUAGCCACGCAUUCAUGGCGCAGGUGAAGAUAAAUUCAGCCAUUUCCUCAGACAGGCUUUGCUCUGUCGGCGGCGCGGUCAGAGAGCAUAUUGAAGGAGCGCGCCGCCGGCCUGCUUUAUUCUCCGCAUGUCCUACCUAUAUAUAUGUUAACCUUCUCUGCCAUCCCUCCUCCCCCUCCUUGCUCUUCCUUCGGCCAUCAGAACAGCUGACCUGGACGAAAAUUUCCCAAGGAGUACCUUGUGAUCAUCUUUGGUUGAGAUAUUCUAUCAAAAGUGAGGGAGCUGACAUAUACAUCCUCUGUUCGCCACAUGCAUCCCAGUUCGCUCUGGCCCUCAUCAGUACAUCAGGGCAAUGGGUGCCAGUGCUGCUCCUGCAAAUGUUAAUGUGGCCUUCACAAUUCAAUCCAUUUGCUAGUUCACUAUGUACAGAUAAUGGGCAGCCUGCCACGGUCACCGCUGGUUAUCACCCCUUGCACCUGUACCUCUAUCCUCUUGCUUCACAUGGCCAUGAGACGCGAUGGUAUGGUGGUCGCCGCCGCCGUCGGAUAGGAUGGUGGACGCCGCCGGGCUUCCUCUCGUCCACCGGCCGGGGUGGGGAUGGAGACCGGUCUCGAUGGUGGUCGCCGCUGGAGACAGAGACCAGGAGCGGAGGGGUGCGGUAUGGGCGGAGCAAUCAGGACAGGGGAUGGAAGGAGAGGGGGAGACAGGGGACGGACAGAUCUGCGCCGCCGCCGAGCGCCGCGGUUCGUCGCCGCCGCUCUGUUCAACAUAUGCACAAAACCUACAAAAUCUCUACUCCUAAUGGAGCAGUUGGUAGUCUCCGUCGGUCAAUUUUCGUCCCACCAUUUUCGUCCGGUUUUUCGUCGGUUAACCUUCGUCACAUCCCUACUGCCACGCCUUCGUCCACCGGUUUACGAAAGAAAAAAAAUAGCCCAGCCACCCCGCAGUCCCGCACGACCUUGCCUCCUCGAUCCCACCUCGACAUCCAUCUCGCCGCCACCUCCUGCUCCGCCCCGCCGUGCACCGCCCGCCGCCACCGUGCCUGCGCCGCCGUCCUCCCUAUCGACUCCGCUGUCCGAAUCCCGCCGCCGCCGCGCCUGCGUCCCUCCCCAAACUUUGCAUCAUCCUCCGCGAUCCAGAUCCAGAUCCCAUCCGCCGCCCGCCCCGCCCCAUGGGGGGCUGCCACGCCAAGCCGCGCACCCGCCACGUCGACGGCGCCUCCCGCCGCCGCCCGCGCCGGCCACGCCGCCUCCACCCUCCCCCUGCGGCGGAAACCUUCUCCCAAGCCGCUGUGGAAGGCACCGGAGAAGCCUCCGGCCGCUGACCCGACCAAAGAGGAUGAGUUGCAGGGCGCAAAGAAGGACGCGGGGGCCGCCACUGCUGUUGGCGACGGCGGCGCUAGGAAGGGGAACUCGUCCCCAUUGCCGCCGCCGAGGAAGCUGCAAGAUGCGCCGGCGGUGAACCUCAACGCGUCCUGCUCCUCGGAGGCCUCCGUGGAGUCGCUCCGCGGCCGGGCCCCAGGCGGAAGGACGGAGAGGGGCUGGUCCCGGCCGACCGCGCCCAAGCGUGGGAAGGCUGUGUCUAAGGUGGUGGAGAAGCAUGCUGAUGUCGCGGAGGUUGCCGCUCCGGUGACGCCGGAGGCCGUCCGAGGGAGGAGCCGGUGCGCCUGGACGCCGCGGAUCCCCACGGACGCCGCGGCAGGGCAUGGUCGCGUUAAUCGCAUGGAGGGUCGCGUCGAGGAAAGCGACGACCUCGCAGGCACCGGGUCAAGCGGCUGGCCCUUCUUACGCGAUGGCGCCGUUCUUUUCUUCCCCGGCAGAGAUUGGUGCCGCCAUGGCCGCAUUGAGAGCGCGCUGGACAGCGGGAACUGUCGCGUCAAGGAGGACGCCAUGGACGGCGGAUCCUGGGCGCUGCACGUUGCUGCCGGCCACGGGAGGAUGCCAUACCCUUUGGGCGCAACAAACUCUUGGCCAUAGCCUCUUCCGCUUUUCACAACAAGGAAAGAGAUGCAUAUGAGAGGAAGAGAGCCUCCCCCAAGCUCUGUCUAGGCGAUGCAUGGGAAAUUUGGAAAUUUGGAAACUAUCAAGGAGAUGUCGAAUGAUGAAUAUACUCAGAUACUGAGACACAUUCUAAAACGUGUUUACGCAGGUGAUGGGGCUGCUGCCAGCUUGGGCCCGCUCAAGAACGGCGACUCUACAGGAGGGGGGUGGAGUCGCGGAAGCUCCUGUGCUAUUGGGAGCGACGGUUCCACAACGAGCCGGUCUUUCGUCACCGGCGAGUUGGAGGAUGUCCAAGGCCGGAAGUGUUCGUCACCACUGAGCCGCGUCUGAGAUAAUACUGACGCGAUGUCCAGAUUUGGAUGUCUCAUCUCUGAACAUUUGAAACGCCGAGUACUCCAUGAAAGCUUGCCUAGCCCUUUUGCGCAAUAUUAUAUCUUUGGACGUUUGCACUUCCGCGGCUCUAGACAUGAGCUUCCUUAUAUGAGUGCUAGCGCGCUACAUUGCAGAGAAAGCUUUGAGAAAAUGCUUUGUUCGGAUGAUAGACAAGAAUAAUCAAUCCUCAUUCCAAGGUUGCGAACCGGCUGCGCCAUCGACGACGAUGGCGAGUUUGGAUUAGAAAUGUGAAGAUGAGAAGAUAGUUGGGGAGGAAGAAGGUAUAAAAUCGACAAUAUCGUCUGAUGUGCGUGCGGAUCCUAAUGGUACAUGUUUGACGCGAUCGGUGCUAACCUAAUAAGAUAUAUGCGGUGGCGCGAGGUGGGGCGGCAAUGAGGCGGUUGUGCUGCAUGAGGCGGCCAAGUCCAAGGCUGCACCGGGGAGGCUCCUGUUGGGGCGACGCAUGGGCGGCAGCCACCCCCAAGACCCGUUAGCAUAAUGUCAUAACGAUAUAUUAAUAUUGAUUGUUGUGCAAAGGAGAAGGUUAUUGUUUGUAGUUAUAUUAGUUUAUUUCCUCAAUAUACAAUGACCUGGCUUAUUCUGUGUCCAAGAGGAAGGAAAAAUAUAUUUCUAGGUGUCAUGUGACUUACCUUUUAAAAGGAAUAACCUCAUGCUAUUCAGGCUUCACUAUUUGCUUCACAGAACUAUUGUAGCCAUAAAAAGAAAG
Molecule: ribosomal RNA, 3799 nt
Filed under: Triticum aestivum (bread wheat)
Lineage: Eukaryota; Viridiplantae; Streptophyta; Magnoliopsida; Poales; Poaceae
Description: partial small subunit ribosomal RNA
Source: RNAcentral